Molecule: ribosomal RNA, 144 nt
Filed under: uncultured bacterium
Lineage: Bacteria
Description: partial 16S ribosomal RNA
Rfam family: Bacterial small subunit ribosomal RNA
Source: RNAcentral
UGGGGGAAUCUUGCGCAAUGGGCGAAAGCCUGACGCAGCGACGCCGCGUGCGGGAUGACGGCCUCGGGUUGUAAACCGCUUUCAGCAGGGACGAGGCCGCAAGGUGACGGUACCUGCAGAAGAAGCCCCGGCUAACUACGUGCC